Molecule: long non-coding RNA, 2389 nt
Organism: Parus major (Great Tit)
Lineage: Eukaryota; Metazoa; Chordata; Aves; Passeriformes; Paridae
Exons: 2
Source: RefSeq, a predicted model, not a curated record
AAUAUUAAUAAAUACUAAUAUUGAUAAGUUAUUGUAAACUUGUUUAUUAAUAUUUUAUCUGACAAAGUACUUGUGUGAUACAAACAACCAAAACACUGUAUUUAAACCAGCACAUGUCCAGAAACUACUGGAAAAAGGACAGCUAUUUUUUCAGGCCAAAUCCCUCAUUUCUUCUACUAACACCGUUAUUGAUUGAAGUGUUAUUGAAUGAACUGUAUGUCUGAGCUGAUCUGGAUCAAAAGCCCCCUUUUUUUUUUCAUUAAUCUGUUUUCUAGCAUGCUGUAGGUGGCACAGGGAGGGGAAUGGACAUAGUUUGAUCAGAUUAAACACUACACAAAGCCAAACCUGACUCAGCAAACUGAGAGAGAUUACUUUUUCAGCAAGCUGUGUUCCCAGAUGCAAUUUACAGCUCAGGUACGUAAGUGAGGGAGGCAGUGAGUCAGAGCAGCUGGAAACAAGAAUGGUGGGAUUAACCAUGUUAGAGAUAGGCCAGAUUUAUGUCAGGUUUAAAUGACUACACAGCUGUUCCUUGAGAAAAGCAUAAAGUAAAAGAAUAAAAGCAUAAAAAAAGAAACACAUAGGGAAAGCAGGUUAGAAAAGUACACAGUGUCCAGCAGCUUAUUGAAAAGUAGCUACCCAAGCAGAAAACAUCUUUCUGAGAAUUUCAUACACGUGGUUCCCUAGCUGUGGAAUUUACAAUAUAUUCACAUUAGCUUAGCAGAAGUAUGAACUGGAAGAUAUAAGGAUUAUAAUUAAAUAUUUUACAUUUCAAAGCUGGCAUUCAGAAGCUGGAUGGAAUGUGACAGCAGUGCAUGACACCAAAGUCCUGCCAGCAACCUGGCUGAAACUUAAAAGAUUUUUCUUCUGACUUCAAGCAGCUGGUUGUUAUCUUGAACCCUGAUACUGAAAAUGUAACAUUGUUAACAGUUUCCUCACUUCUGUUUUAGCAGAAUUAUUUCCAUGAAAGCACAUGCGUCCAUUAAAUGGCUGUCUUUUUACCAUAAAUCAUUGUUUGCUGUAUUGUUAUGGCUUCAUAAGCAUUAUUAGUGGAAAUUAGGCUAAAUAUGUUAUGUAGUUUUUAUGUUGAAAUGUAAAUAACCUCUGAUCACAUUUACAUAUGGAAAGAAUAAUGGUGUGUGCAAGAGCAAUAGGACAAAUUAGAGCUGUACUGCAGGUGUGCUUGUUAAUUAUUUCUUUGCUGUGUACAGACAGGACUGAGUCACUGGAAUGAGUGAAGGUGCUGAGACAAUUCUGUUUUAUUUGUAGCUUUAUCAUUAACACUUUAAGUGGCCUUAGGCAACUCAGAGGUAGGUGAAGAUGGAUUGUGCUUCAGCUUUGAUGAAUCUUCUGGGUGUACUCAGUCCCAGGGGACCCUGAAUCAGAAGAAUAUUAAAGUGUUUGUUCCUUAUCCAUCUAGGACAGUACCUGGAGGUCCAGAAUGGAUGUCUGGAACACACUAGGCAAGAAAUCAUGAAAGGGUUUUUGACUACUAUUCUACAGCCAUCUGUGGCUUGGUGACUUCUCAAGGUAGAGGUGGCUUCUGUGUAUUUACUAACCCUCUUGUUUCUGUUCUUUAACAUACCAAGACUCCUCUUGAGCCCAUGUAAAUUUUCAUCAUUUGCAGCAUCUGUGGCAAAGGUGCUCCACAGCUUAGCUAUGUGGAAGAUCAUUUUUGCAAACCAAAUCCUUUUGCUUUCACUGAGCCUUCCACCUACCAGCCUUCCCUGGCUGGAAGAGAUGGUGAAUUAGUGAUUAAUGUUCAUACUGUAUUCUGCAGAAAACUGCACCUAUGCAGACCUGAGAGUGCACACAUUAAAUGCUUGUGUGCUAGGACAGAUGUCAGAAUCCUUGCAGGAGACACACCGUGAGUACCUUCAGGAAAGGACCCUGGUCUUUUCUCUAUGACUGGGAGGAGAAAUGGAAUAACUCGUUCAUAUUGCAGAUGGGUGCAGUGAAUAGUUUCAUGUUGUUAGAUAUGCCUGAGGAUCCCCUUAGCAACCUAGAGUUUGUCCAGAGACAACUAUGAUGGUACUCCUGCAGACAAGACACAGAGAAAAUUCACCAUCUGUAAGAUGGGAAAGGUACUGAGAUGCUUUUAAAGCCCCUGAUAAAUCUCUUCUUGGAAAUUUGGUACCCUCUGAACUCAUGGCCUUGGCAGAGGCUUCACUUUCUCACUCUGAUGUUCUUGACAAGACCCUCUCUCCUGAUGUUUUUCAGCAAUAAAGUAUCAACCAGUGGAGCUUACAAGAGCUGGGAAAUAAAGCAGAUUGCACCACUGUCACUACAUGAAUGUGAUAAAUUCAUAGUAAAGUAAAUUCAUGUCUAUUCAUAAUAACUGAACUUUCCAGGAUGCUUUAUUUGUCCUGCUUUAACAUGUCUGUUAAAACUU